This 44237-nucleotide long non-coding RNA is filed under the name Coffea arabica (coffee). RNAcentral's name for it is "long non-coding RNA (CARA_LNC003486)". The stretch from base 842 to 1029 matches the Rfam family "Bacterial small subunit ribosomal RNA", at positions 923 to 1375 of the family's 1533-position model. Lineage: Eukaryota; Viridiplantae; Streptophyta; Magnoliopsida; Gentianales; Rubiaceae. The record is from RNAcentral.
UUUUUUUUUUGUGAUUGUGAUAGAGUGGGGGUAUGAUUUCUUUGUUUAGUUUGAGUUUAUUUUUGUAAUGAUUUAGUACAACUUGAAGGCUUAAACUACAGUUGAGAAGAAGAUGGGAAAGCAAAUAAAGUUCAUAAAAAAUCAGUUUUGAGCAUAUAAGUUGAAUUGGUACUCGUUCACAUUUUUAUGGACUAUAACUUUGUGAUAUGACGGUACUACAAGAGAUUGUUUUUUAGGUGGUAUUUUUUCUUGAAAUAAACAAAGUAGUUUAAGAGUAUUUUUAUUUAGCAAAAUGAGCAAAAGAGUAGCUUAGGGUUUUUAGAGGUGCUAAGUGAUUAUUUUUCAAACUUUAGAGGUGCUAAGUGAUAUUAAAAGAAACCUCAAGGGAGGUUUCUGAUAUUAUCCCAAAAAUUAGAUACCUAUCAUAUAAUUUUCAUUUAUUUUCUAAGCCAUUCAUAAUUUCUUUCUUUUUUUUUUAUAAAGAAAGAAAAAAUAAAAACCUUGGACAUCACAAACCGCUCAUUUUCCUUUCGUGAAUAUAAAUAUGAACAAGUAAAAUAGCUCAUUAAGGGGGAGGAUGGGUUAGGUGCUGUAGGGAGAGAAAAUGUAAGUGAAAAGUUUCGAUUUAAGACCUCUCAUAUAAAAAAAAAAGGUAUAACAACUCAUUCUUUCACACCUUCAUUUGAUCACAAUUUCUUGUAUGUGGUCUUUUUAGAGUAUUUUAUUGUUAACUAUAGUCAUGAUUUUUGUUAAUCAAUUUGUCUAUUCAGUAAAUAAAUAGCAAUUCGAUCUAUUAAUAUGUAUGGUCUUGGAUCAUUAAUAAUGUUUUUCUUUAGAAUUUGACUAUUUGAUUGAUUCGAUUACUUCUAUUCUAUUAUGUCAAAUGGCCGGGACAAAGGGCGCAAUCUCGUGAGAGUGAGUUAACCCCAAAAACCCGACCUUAGUUCGAAUUGCAGUCUGCAAUUCGCCAGCAUGAAACCAGAAUCGCUAGUAAUCGUCGGUCAAUCAUACGGCGGUGAAUCCGCUCCCGGGCCUUGUACACACCGCCCGUCACACUAUGGGAGCUGUCCAUUCUUGAAGUCGUUACCUUAACCGCAAGGAGGGGAUGCUGAAGGCAGGGAUAGUGACUACCGUUGAAAUUAUGGUUUUUAUCUAUAGCAAUAAUUAUAUGCUCAUGAUCGAGCAUAUUUGAGAUUUUUGCUUAUAUGGGUUUUUUCAGCACUUCCAACUCGGGAGCAAUUCGAACGACAAGUCGACAAGACUUGAUCAACAGAUUCAACUCUUUUGAUCACAAUUUCUUUAACUCCUAAGCAAUUCGAACAACAAAACUUGGUCAACAGAUUCAAUACUGGGUGAGUCUCUUACUCUAACAGUAGUAAUUUCAGCGAUAUUCCUCAUUCGCGUCAAUUGUUUAUCUUCCUUUGAUUUUAUCUCACCUUUGUAGAUCACAUGUUUGAUGAAAGUUCUCCCCGAAUUCUUCACAGUUGACGCUGUGUUUGCAGUAAUUAAAUAGGUUUUGAUGAAUCCCAUUUCGAUUUUUUUGAUCAUUCAGCAUAAAUAUCGGUAUUUCUUGGGCAUUGGAAACACUUAAAAAAAAAAAUUUCCUGGGCAAUGGAAUUUGAAGAAAGUGCUGUUGAGAAAUCACAAAAGAAUCAGGAAUGCUUUGAUAAAUUUUUAGUACUAACUCUUUGACGAAGUUUAAGGGCUGAUUGGUGGUUGACUGGUUUCAGUGGAUUGCAAGUGCCUUUUUGCUAGCUGCUGUAACCGAUCGUGGAUGUGUUGCUAGCCUUUUUUUUUUUUUUGGCUAACUUAGUUGUUUGUUGUUUUUUUUUGGGGGGACUAAGGACUCAUUUUCUGUUGUAAUUGUUCAGUUUUCUCUUUCUUGUAUUCGGUUUUGCUCUUUCUUUAUCUUUAGUGAAUUUGAACUUGGAUUUGGUGCUUUAAAAAGUUGACAUUGUUUCCUGUUCCACGUUCAGGAUUGUCAGAAGUUUGAGCAUCAGGUGUUCAGUGACAAGCGCACAGAGAUUCUUUUAAACAUAUUUCAAAAUCUCCUCAUUGAGCUAGCAUGUUUUAGUGAUUAAGAAAAAAAGAGACUUACAUAUGUCUCCACCCUUAGGACGAUGCUGAUGUAGAUGCGGUGCCUCUGAUCAGUUCUGGCACCACCUUCCUCCUCUUCCUAUUGCUACCUUGAGGAGAAUGGGGUCCUUUAUCUCUUUCCCAGUCUGACCACCUCCCAUCCACGUGAUGUCGGCAUGUUCUACUGCAGGAAUUUUCUCGACAUCAUCUCAUGCAUGAGUUUUUUCUGUCUUCCCUGCUCAGCCAUUGCCUGCUUUGACCACCACCUUUUGUUCAGGGGUUCAUCCUCCUCCGUCUACUUGAAAGCUGCCUAGUGGGAAAGCUGCCUAGUGGGAACCGAGACCUGUUCUGAUUCAACAGAAGAUGACACUCAUUGUUAUGAUCUGGCAACUAGAACAUUGAGAGGGCACACCAUUUCUUGUUAGUUCUUUAUGGAAUCCUUUGUGCCACUGGUCUGUUGGUGUCGAUCCUUCUCUCUUAUGUUGAAGGUCGUGCAAUUCCUCCUUUUUUUUGCGAUCUCUGGGUACACUUAAUGCAAUUGCACGAGUAAUCCUACCAUUAAUCUUAGGGGUUGGUCUGUCCCAUAUGGUUAUUAGUCUUCUUUACAAUGGGUACAUGGAGAUGAGCAAGGGAUGCUAGAGAGGAAGAAAGAGCAUGGCCUUGCUAUAAUAAUAGUUGAUCAAAUAGACUAGAGCUUUGUCACCCUACCUUGUAUCUCAGUUAGUUAAUGUAUUGAAUAAUGCAUAGUCUCUUAGUUUCUUUGGCCUCUGUUCUGCCCUGGGAAGGGAGUAGCAGCGAUAAGCUUUGUAAUGCUCCUAAUUUCGAUUUUUGAUGAUUGUUGCAACUUUAAUUGAAGACUUCCCCUUUGUUGUUGUAUCCAUUUAUGAAAUCUCAAAAUCUUUCCUGCUUGGUGGUGCAUUUUCCUUGUUAUGUUAAUUAGUGUUGAUUUUUAUGAGUUUGGCUUCAAUCUGCACUCUGCAUCCAAUCUCAUUCAAUAGAAUAUGACUUCUUCCUGAUAUGGUAAGUUUGAAUAAUCCAAAAACAGAAAGUGGAAGGGCACAAUAUUUGACAUGCAAAUAUAAGUGAAACAAUAGAUAGUACGCAUGUUAUAUUAUGCAACAUGGGCUCGCCUUGUGGUGGAGUUGAUCAGAAUAAUUAGUUACCUUCUCCGUUUCACUUAGCUUUCUACAAAGGAGUGUUGUUAUUCACUUUUUUUUUUAAUGUUCUGAUAAAUUAAACUUCAUAAACCAUUCCAACCUUUAAAAGCCUAGUCCUAGGAAUUUCCAAGAGCUUCUGCCCUUGCCUGACAUUCUUCCGAAGGAAAUUGUAGGCAUAGUUGACGACAAACUUCUUGAAGAAGGAUGAAUCUUGUUUUGCCACCACUUCUGCUUCUCCCAGAAGAUAAAACACUCCUUGUUCUUUGGCUCUCUGCACAAUCUGUAGCUCCUCUUCAACACCCAGCUGGGUGGACCCCGGAAUGGUUCGGAUCGAGGAAUUGGUUGAUUUUGCAGCAUUAAAUGACUGGAUUGAACUUGAUGAGACUCCGGUUGCACUUUGCUGUACCUCUGGCAGUGAUUCUUCGACAUGAACAGUUUUGGAACCGGAUUUUCUAGGAUUUCCAUCUUUCUGCAUUAAACCUGAAUCUUGGAUGUCUGAAUCAGGCAUUUGCUCUCUAGAUGCAUCUUCAAGGAUGAAAUGCUCAUGCCUGAUGAAUUCCUUCAAGUUCUCCACAAGCUGCUGCUCAAACACCUGAGGCUCCUCAAUUCUGUCAUUGUAUCCAUACCUCACUACACAACGAAACACUCGAUAAUCUCUUGGCUCAACCUGUCGAAAAAGAAACCUUUCAUCCAGUGGCACUUUACUAAUUGGGAGGGACUUUAUGGAGACCAGCACCGUGACUGAGUAAACUGUUGGAAUGUUAGAAACAAAGUGGGGAAAUAUUGGUGGAAUACCCUGAACGAGUUCAGAGUAUAGAAGUCCAAUACCAGGUACUCUUCUAAUUUGUGGGUUUCUGGCCAAAUCUUUCACAUAAUCACUGGAUACCUUGUUCUCGAGCUCAAACAAGUAUCGCUCUUUGUAGACAUAAUGCCAAAUUCCCAUAGUUGUCAUCAAGAAGAAUGAAAAUGCUAUAGGGAGGUAACCACCUUGUAUGAAUUUGGAGAGCACAGCUGAUAGAUAUAUGGAGUCUGUGCAAAAGAACGUUAGAAAGAAGAGAGCUAUCCACCAUAUGCUUGCCUUCCAUAUAAAAGUCAUAAUUAAAGUGACCAGACUACUGGUUAUCACAAAUACAGAGACGACAGCAAUUCCUGCAUUAGAAAAUUGGUUAUAUGUUUUCGCUUCUCUAAUAAGAUAUAAAAAAAUUUCUUAGUGCUACAUUUUAUAUCUGAAGCAACAGACAAAUUCAGGAAUCUGUAGUUCUUGAAAGAAGCAUGUUAAGGAGUAGCAUGGGUCCUUGAUAACUUUUGUUCUUAAAAUACCUGAUUUUGUUGUUUGACUUUCUGAGUAUGAGCAGAGAGGCAUAACACAUCCACACAAACACAAUCUGCUGUCCUGAAGGUAUUUUGACUUUGCUGUCUUGUGCUAUUAGCACCUUUCUACCAGACAGAAGAUUAAACAACUGCUAUUCGUCUAUGUUUAUGACACAUAUCUCAUAGUUAUAUAGAGAGGGAUAUACACACAAAUCAAUCAUGUUGUUCUUCAUUUUAAAAGCCAACUACCGAAUUUAAUUUGCAGUUGCGAAAGAACCAUAAAUUUAGAAUAUGUUCCUAUAACUGUAAAGUUCGAUGGGCAUAAAGAGCAUAAAAUGUGAAAUCAUUGGGUAGUGGAUUUCUCAAAGUUUAGAUUACAUAAAAUCUAAUUAACCGAUGUAUGUACAGGCUUAGGAUUACGCCAUGCCUGAGUUGAUCAUGUUUCAUAUAUAGAGGGAAAGACUAACUUCUAUUUACUACACUGUCUAAUUCAGUUAAUUAACUUUCCAAAUCCAAGAGUAUAUUGAGAUUACCAUAAGCAUUGCCGAUCUUUUCUGUGGUUCUGAAUAUUGCAGUAACCAUUAUACAAGCCGUCAUGAUGAAAUAGUUGAGCUCAGGAAUAUAAACCUGGCCCUCAUACUUGGCAGAUGUGUGAACAACUCUAACCCUUGGGAAACAACCUAGAUUAAGGGCCUGAGAAAUAAUUGCAAAGGCCGCAGAUAUCAUAGCUUGACUGGCAAUAAUGGCUGCAACGACAGCUAUAACAAAUGUAGGCCAAUAGAUUGAAUCUGUCAAUCCAACAUAGCAGUCAACCAUUUAUAGAACUGUUAACUCCUCGGUUAUGCAUAUAAUAUUGGUGAUUAAAUAUUCCAAAACUAGCACUAAGAACUUGCCUGGAACUGACUUAUAGAAUGUGUUGCCGACAUUUUCAGGGAACUUCAUGAGGUAUGCAGCUUGACCUAGGUAAGUUGAAAUUAGGGUCGGGAACACUACACUGGAGAAACUAAUCUGCAGAAUUUUUACACAGAAAAGAAAAGAAAAAGUCAUGAACAGCUUAAUAGUCAUAUGACAAAGCAUAAAAAGGUUGUACAUUGCAGAGACUGUAGUUUUAUCCUUUAAUAAUCUUCUCCAUGUCUGGUUUGGACAUGCAAUGUUUUCCCUCAUAUAGCUUCUUUUAGUUACAUAGUACGAAAUACGGUAAGCAAUCAUCUUUAACUUGGGCAUGCCAACAAGAUGUUUGGCAAGAAGCAGAAUUUAAAAACUAGGUUCAUCAUUUUCUUUUGAUUUGCACCAAGUUCAGAAUGUAGAAAUACAUUUAUGAUAUUUGUUGUAGUCGUGCAUAGUGCAUAUACGUUUGCUAGUGACGGAUAUAGGAUUGAGUAACAUACCUGAACAGCCCUCACACUAAAGUGACUCAAAUCAGCAAACAUAGCUUCGGUCCCUGUUUCAUAUUAUUGUCUGCAAGUUAGGAUACACUAACCAUAUGUGAAUGUGAGAAAAUUAAAUAAUUGGGAGUGACAGUAUUAGCCUCUGACCUGUAACGCAUAGGACGACUCCACCUAGUGAUUUCCAUCCUUUCUUACCAUUUCUUCUGAAGUAAUCGAAUAUGUAUUUUGGAUUGAAAGCACGUAGGACCCCAGGGUCAUGCUUAAAUAAGUUGUAGAAGCCAGUAAGACCUAUACAUAGGAACCACAAGCUGAUUGCUGGAGCGAAUGAGAAGCCAACCUUGUCCGUGCCAAAGCGUUGAACGGAGAAGAGAACGAUCAAUAUUGCAAUUGAAAUUCCAACAACAGCGUCUGGACAAUCAAAAAGUUCAGCCCCAUUUGGGUUAAGGUACGCUUACAUGUAUGCUAUACAAAGUUUGUCCAAAUGUUAGUUGUUUCUAAGAAAGAUUGUGAUUUAAUGGAAUGUGAUUAAACUCGAUGGAGCACUAAAUAUCAGUAUUUGCAUUCUGAUCUUCAAGAACAGCAAACUGUGUUUCUUUUGAAAAAUCAGACACUAUACAGUUGCAAGGCCAUAGGGAAGUAAGAUUAGCAAAUGUUACCUUGUUUGAGGGAUGUGAUCCCGCUCACAGCAGAAAGCACUGCAACCAUAAGGACCAUCAAAGUCGUGUUAGUGUUCCUUUGCAAACUUAAGGACCUUGCAACAGCUUAACAUUUUUCUUGCUAUUAAGUUGUGAUACCAAUUCCUCUUGUACUACUACAUCGAUAGGACUUCAGAAGAUACAGUACAUAGUAAAUGUUGCUAUUUCUAAUUGAAUGAAAUGCAUUCCACAGAUGAAGUAUUGCUUAAAGUUAGAGCAUAGUUAGCAUUUAAUGAUUUUCUUUCAUUCAUUAGUUACCUCAAGCACUAACCUUAUGCAAAUUUACUUCAUUCUUCUAUUUGUUAUUUCAUAAAAUGAACACAAAAUGAAUUAAAGUUCUGAUGUCAUUCUAUCACCAUUAUUUCCUUACAAAACAUUAAUUCAAUUCUUCUCACUCAUCAACUUCGGCUCAUUUACUUUUCCACCAAUUUGUCCUGUUUGACUCAAACUCAAGAUUCUCUUUGUUGAACUAAUGAUUUUAGUGUGUAUUUUUAUUAUAAUAUGUACUACUUCAGGCUUCUUUUUGGUACUUUAUGAGGUACAAACACACUUGAUCACUGGGUUCUAUUCAGUUAUUCAUAUGAGAUAGACAACUUUUUUUUUUUUCAGUAUACUUGGUAAAUAAGAUUUUCCCGUAACUUGAUUUUAAUUUAUAUAUUGAAGCUAUGUGUAGCAACUAGCAAGGAUAAGGUACUAGUGAAAUUAGGUGACUGAAAUUAAAGCAAAAUAUUCAGUUGUUCUUAUUGAAAGAUUAAAGAAUGAAAAUGGGGGUCUGAUGUCUAAAUGUAUGUUGUGCAGGUGGCAGAAUGUGACCUGAAAUGCAGGGAGUGAGGAUCCCAUCACCCAUGACCAUAGAAGUUCCAAGGAUGGGAAGAAACACAAGUAUGAUUUUUGCUACUUUGCUUCCUUCCAGGGUUUCUUUAACCUUUUGAGCCCUUCUCAACUGGUUGGAGGGUAUAUCUAUUUUGUAAUUUGAGACUUCCGUGUCCUCUGGCUGUUGGUUUGGAAUAAGGCUUACCUUUGCAUGUCUACAAAUUAAGGAGUAGAGCGCAAAUGUCCCGCCUGCACAUAGAUGUGCACCACCAUUUACAGAUUUGUAAUUCAUUAUUGGCUGGAUUGAUCAGAUAAACAGAGUAUAUUGUAGAAAUUUAAGAAAUAAAGGGAUGAUAUGUUGUUUAUAGUCAAAUAGCAUCAAAUAGUUUGACUGAAACAAAAAUUAAUAUGCAGAAAAGCAUAACACUAUAUGAAACAUUAUUUGCAUUUUUGGAUUUUAUAUUUUCAUAUUUCACUACUUGAAGAAACUUAAAACCGCCACAGCUUAAUUUGCAGAAUUUCGAGACCCCAAAAACAAGAUGUGGAUUGAGCAUCUUGAUAAACAGGAAGAUUAGCUGUGCCCUAUAUGAAUUCAAGAAGUGGAAAUGUUUCCUUGGCUGCCCCAAUGAACUGAUGAAGUGAAGGCUAGAGGCAUAAGUUUGCCACAGAAUCUUGGUCCAAUGACCUCAGCAAUUGUGUUUCAUGGAAUAAUAUCAAGUAAACUAUUUGCAUCACUUGACAAUGUACUUGUUGUAUUAGUAUCAAAUACUCACUGCCAAAUAAUGGGCCAGACAAAGAAUGGCUCAAUGAGUGUGUUAGACAAGACUAAUUAUCAUUAAUUGGGUGAAAGAUACAAGGGUAAAUUAUUUAUUAUUCCCUAUGGUUUUAUAUAAUGCUAGAUGACUCCUCUAAGAUUUCAAAAUAGCCACAUAACCUUGUGAUUUUAUGUGAAGAAGAAAAUGGACGGAAUGCAUAAUCAGUUACGGUGUUUAUAUCAAACGCACUUUAAAAGUACGUGUGAUAAAAUCUUAAUAUUCAUGUAGCCUUCUUAUGAUUUGUGCAAAUAUACAUUUUACCUCCCGGGACUUUUGCAUUUAUUCACAUAAUCUCACUAUACUUUUAUAUAAAGUGGUUAAGCCAUCGAUUGAUUUAUAUUUAAAUGACAACACUAUUGACAUUUCAACUAACGAUGUUACGUAGGCUAUUUUUCGUGAAGUUUUCACUUUAUAUAAAAUCAUAAGAUGGUUGAAAUGGAUAUUUUGAAACGUUAGGAGAAGUUAUGUGACAAUAGAUUAAACCAUAAAAGAUUAUACGUAAUUUAUCCUAGAUACAAUUAUAUCUCUUGACAUGUCAAAGUUUUGAUGACACAGACUGUCUAAUACUCUCAUAUUUCAAUCGCUUUCGGCAUAGCAAAUAGGACUUUAUUUGGUGGAUCAUUACGCUACGGAUCCUCACACAUGAACCAUAUGCAGAAAUUGUAGAUCUCAAAGUAGGGUUCACAUGAGAGGAUUCAAAUGAUUCGUGUAGAACCAAUCUACAGAAAAGUGCCUCCCACCAACCAAAAUGAUCCAUCCUAGGAAUCCACGCACGUCGCUUUUUGCCAACUCGUCAAAGCACAGUUUUCACCACAAAAACAAAAGAGAAAAAAAAAACAGAAAAACUACCACACAAAUGCAUUCCUAAUCCUGAUUAUGGUAAUUAAUUAUCAUUAAAGUGGAGGAGAAAUUACUAAAAGAACCAGUAAUGAAGUGAUGAUUACCAUGUUUAGACUACUCACCAUUGCCAUUGUCGUUUGCCCACAAGACAAUACACACAUACUUGAUCAGUGGCAAGAGAGUUAGGGUAUAGAUAAUCAGGGACAAAACACCAAGGAGGUCAUUUUUGUCAUGUAUUCCAUCAGGAAAUGUACUGGAAUAUACGUACAAUGGAGAAGUCCCAAUGUCACCGUAUAUUACUCCUAUGCUCUGAAAUGCCAAACUGAGUGUGGUUUUCCAUCCUAAAUCCUGUUGAAUUAAGCAAGUACAAGGGAUAAAGAACUUUUAUAUCCAGUUAAAAUGGUACAGCAUUUUUGAAACUAGAAACCUCUUUUACGCUUUCUUUACUCAUCUUAUAGUCAUGCCUUUCUUGCAAGUAAAAGCUGUUUGUUUUUUUUUUUCCUUUACUUCUCUUUUUAACACUUUUGAGAUGAACGACAGUUGAAUUUAAUAAUCAGUUUUUAACUUGUUAAAGUACUUAGAAAUCGUUCUCAAUUUUUUGGAGCGUGUUUUAAAUGAUAUAAUUAAGGAAAGCUAAACCAAUCAAAAAGAAGUUCUAGUUAGAAGAAGUUAUGAGGAAAAAUGCCUUCAGAUGUGAAAGAAAAAAUAACUUUAAACUUUUGAGAACUUAUAUAUAUACAUAUUUAUUUUUUUAAAAAAAAGCCACAUAUGUUAAAAUAUUUUGUAUAGCUUUUUCAUGAUCACUUUUUUUUUUUUUUGGGUAAAACAGGUCCAGUAAAUAGCAAAGCAAAUAAUUGACGACAAUAGACUAGUGGAGUAACACUAGUGUUUAAUAGUAACAACCUUGUUGCCAUGGCCACCGCCGGUACGUUUGCCGGAAACUGUUCCGGCCUCCAAGUUGAGGGAGUCGAUGCGGCGGAGCUUUGCCCACGACAGUUUCCGGUCCUUGAGGUUGUUGGCAGUUGAUUUUCUAAAGCUUCUCUCUUUAAUCUCAUCCUUAUCAUCAUCAGCUGUUACACCUUCACUAGGUGUAGGUGGAGGAAAAGAACUCCCCACCUCAGCUUCCUCAACAGCUCCGUGCAUUUCUGCAAAUAUGAUCAACCCAAAUGAAACCUCCUGUAUUUGGAAAUUGGUGGGUUCUUUUGGGUUCCACAACUUGGGUUUUUAUAGGCCUGGCAUGUACUAUGAUGCCAUGUACCAUAAUAUAAUUGUAAUCUAAUUUGUUUUUAUUCCUCGAAAGUCAAGAAGGAAUAUAUAAAUUUAUCUCAUUCAGCGUUGAAACUGGAAAUUUGUCCAAUUGGCCAAUCAUUUUUCUCCAUGUCUGCACACGUGUUGGCCGAAGCUAGCGUGAUUCUCCAUGUCCAACGCAUCCCCUAGACUUCUUUCCAGUUCCUCUCAAGAACUAAUCCAUUAUUGCCAAUAGUUUUUUGUUAGUACUUUGCUGGAAUAAUUCUACUAUCAUUAUUGCUAUUAUUUAAUGGAUUAACACUAUUACUAGCAGCAUAUUCCCGUUUACUUUUCGGGCAUUGACAUUUUGGAUUGCAUUUUUAAAUUUCUUGAUUUCUUGCCAUAAAGGGACAGAAAAUAUAUCAUAAUUAAUGUGUUACUAUAAUUCAUACAUGCUGCCAUCACCUGGGAGAUUCAUUGGCUUGGUCUGAAUUCUGUGUCUAGUAUGUCAAUUUAGAUUUCUAAUUUAUGGUUGGUAUGAGGUUGAUGCUAAUGUAUUUAUGCAAGUUUUUAUGGUUAUCUUUUGAUGUAAUAAAAGUUGCAAUCAAAUCGAUCUUGUUCCUUUCUUUUUUACUACAUUGGGACCAAAUAUAGAGUUCUCGAUUCAAGAAUUAAGUGACAUUGAUCUGUCUUCACGGAGUUUCAGACUUCUAAUAUAAAAUUUCCCCUACAAAAUAAUGAAAGAAAGAGGACAUUAGUACAUUACGGAAUCAAAAACUGAUAUUGUACUUUGGAAAAGAAAAAAAUUAUAUAGUAUGAAAGAAGAUUGAUAAGAGUAUUUUAGUAAUAUAAAUAUAUCCAGAGACUAAAGGCAGCAGAAGAGAGAUUUUGAUGACAAGGUCAUAAACAACCCAAUCAUAAGUCUCAUCAGAGGAAGUCAAAGGCUCUUUAGAAACUGAUUUCCGGUUAGGAUCAGCAGGUUUAAGUUUUCUCCAUUCAGAUUCUUUGCAUUUGUUUAUAUGUUUUUUUUUUUACUAUGGAUAACACAAAAUUUUAUUAUUUGGAUAUGACUAUAGGUGCAUUUGAUAAAGUUGAAAUCUAAAAACUAAAAUAUAAAGUUUGAAUCCAUUAAGUUACUGUAUUAUCAAGUACUAAAUUUGAUACAUUUGAGUGUAUAUUACAUUAAGUGAUAAUUAAAUAGCUUAUCAUUUAUUUUUAGGAGUAAGUUUUAUUUGGAAAAUUAAGUGCUAUUUAAUUAAUUCAAAUAUUAUAUUUCUAGUUUUCAAGCAUUUUUUAACAUGUUAAGAUCUGAACCCAAUACCCAAUUCAGCAUUUAAAGUUAAUAGGUUUAUCAUAAUAUGUGCAGACACGUUUGAUAACAAAAAAUAAAAUAUUUGAAUUAAUUAUGUGGUAUUGAAUUUUCUUGUCCGAAUUUACUCUAAAAAAAGUGAUAUGCUAUUCACUUAUCAAUUAAUGUGAUAUACAUUCAAAUGUAUCAGAAUUAGUGCUUAAUAAUUUAAUAAUUUAACAGAUUUGGUCCUCAAAUUCCAUAUUUCAGUUUUCAGGUUUCAAUUUUAUCAAAUGUACCCUAAGUUUAAAUGUUGAAUUAAGUUAUCAAACAGAACCUAUAUCUCAAUUAGUACAUUAGCAUAAUUAGACCAAAUUUUUGGUCUCAAACCAAUUGCAUCAAUUGGUAUUCAAUCAGCAAGCAAUAUUUGGAUUGAACUUGAGUGAAACUAUAUAAAAAACUACUAUAUGAAUUAGGUGUUUUCAAAAAACUACAAUGUACCAUUGUAUUUCAAAAAUUUUCUGCUGUAGAGAAUUUAAGAAAAUGAUAAAAUUUACUAACGAACUUAAGGGCGCAGGCCCCAAUUGUUUUGAAAGGCAUUGCUUUGUAAAGAUUUUUCAGUUUGAUGCAGUGAAAUCUCAUUGAUUUUUUGUUUUCAUCUCAUUCAUCUUAUCACAAAAUGAAAAAUAGAUAGACACCUGCACCAUGACGUAUAAGUAGAAUGCAAUUUGGCAUUUGCGACCAAAUUUUCAUAUAUGAAUCAAAGGAUGAAAUUAAAGAAAAACGAAUUUGAUAUUCUUUUUCAACUGAAAAACUAUGAAAUGAGUGGUCGAUAUUGCAUGAUAAUCCAAAUGGUGAUGAUAUUUGCCCUCCAAGAUUGUAUCUUUCAUUUUAUUUUAUUUUGUCCAAGAUUGUAUAUUGUUUGUCCAACUUCACAAUUUGGUAUAGUAAGAUGACAUUAUUGUUCUCCCUAUCUUCUUUGUACUUUCAGACCCCAUGUUUGAUUCCCCUCUGUCUUUUUCCACAUAAUCUUUGUAGUAAAACAUUGUCGAGCGUGAAUAAGCACAGAGAAAGGAGGACCCAAUCAUACAGAGAAAAGAGGAAAUAUAUAAUUGGGAAUUAAUAUCCAUCACCCAAAUGUCUAAUUUAAAAUUUUUAGCAACUCAAAAAUGUUUAUGUUUUCACCAAUUCUUGGAGUGAUAGAGGGGAAGGGCAAGGUUUUUGGGUAGGGCCGGCGAUUAGUUGCAGGGAAGAAGAAAAGCACGUCACUGUGACAGAAAAGUUGCAUUUUUUGGAUUUUCUCCUCCUCUUGAUGAAUCUACUGAAGAUUUGGGUUGUGGCUUGUUGCAUGGUGAGGCUAUAUUUUCCAAUGAAAAGUACAAAAUUGUACAAUUCCCCCGCUGGCAUCCAAUUGAGGAGUGCGACCCGAUUCCCGCAGAACACUGACUUUAUUGAUGCCUUGGUCCAGCCCCACAUCCUCGUGCAUUUAGACCUGAACUCCCAUGAUUUGGAUAUUCCAUAGGUAUCCAUUGGUACUAAAAAAUAAUCAGUACAUGUAAAAUUUUAAGAUAGCAAAAAUACAAUUCAAUCACCAUUUUAAAAUGAUAAAAUUAAUAUUCAAGAAUGUUGCGCACGUUAAAUCCAACGUUUUAAAAUCGGGCUACACUGGUCAGCUCGAUCGAUCGAACUAGAAACCAAUCAUGCUUUCGGUUUGAUUUAAUGAUUAAUCCAAAAGUUCAAUUAAACCGGUGAAAUUAGGUCAAGAACUGGCUAGACUAGUAAAAAUAGGAAGAUUCAACCGGAUUUUAUUAAUUUUUUAUUUUUCAAAACAAAUAUUUUAGAUUUAUUCAAAAUUUUUAACACAAAACUAAAAAAAAUGAUUAAAUCUUUGAACCAGAGUUGACUAAUUGAGCUGGUUGAAUGGCGAAUCAGAAGUUCUUUCGAUUCACUCCUCAGUCCAAAUUUAAAAACAAUGAAUAAAUCAUGAACAGAAAGUAUGAAAUGUUAUCAAAUAUUUCUAUUUGCUUGAAAAUUUUUAUCUAUAUUCAAGAUUGAAACUUUUGUGUUUUUGCAUCACCUCCGCUUUAUCUUAUAUAAACAUAUAGAUUUGGGUAGGGUCAAGACUUAGAUCUGGAUUUAGGUAUAAAUCAUACAAAAUUAGAUCCUAUUCGAACUAUUCAUUCUUUCAUGGGACUUGGGUCUAGGUAGAAUCUAAAUUUGUAAUUUUAAAUCCAAACUCAAGAAAAGUAAUAUGAUGGCUCUGGAUUGGAUCUAGGUAGAGGUGGUAAAUCAACCCACUUAACUAAAUUUACCCAUACCCGCCCAUGAAUAGAUGGGCAUGGGUAUCUUAAAUUUUUGUAUAUGGGUAUUAUUGAGUAACCCAUCAAACCCAAUUAACCCAUUUAGAAUUCUCUUCCCCACCAAGUCUCUUCUUUUCCCCCACCUUUUUUUUUUCAAAAUUUUCAUUUUGUCAUGAUGUUAACUACUUUUGUUUCAUUAUUAUUAUUAUUAUUAUUAUUUGUUGGUUUUAUCUCAUUAUUUUAUUUUCUCUUAGUUUGUUAACUUGCUCAUUUUUUAGCAUUACUAAUUUAUGAUAAAUUUUAGCCUAUUUUCUUAUCUUUAUAAAAUGAAAUUUUAAAUUUAUAUAUGAAAAAAUGUUAGGGGUUCAAAAUUUUUGGAUUAAGUUUUUAUAUUAAUUUUUAUAGUACUUAGUUCAAAUUUUUAUAUUCUUAUUAUUCAAUUAUUAAAUAAUAGGUAAUUUUGUGACAGAGUAUAAAUGAAAAAAAAUUGGUAAUUAAGUUUAUUGAACAUUAUAAGUAAAUAUUUAAAACUGAUGAUGGGUACAAAGAGUGGUAUAAAUUGAUAACUUAGUUUGCAAAAAUGAAUUUAAAUGAGUUUACAAAAAGUUAAAAUAAAUGGGUAAUUGGGUUGUCCAAUUCAUUUUUUGACUUACCCAUUUAUACCCAUCUAAUUAAAUGAGUAUAAAUGAGUUGACUCACUUAUACUCAUUACCCAUUUUACCCAACCCAAACCCCCAAGUCACCCAUUUUGACACCUCUAGAUCUAGGUAAUACUCAACCUAUUGAUCUGUCUUAAGUGUGAAGGUCAAUUCUUUAAUACAAAUGAGAAACAUAUAAUGUCAUGGUGUAACCGACAGAUUAUUCCUCGAUUAAUUAAAUGACGAGUUUAGUUAAUCCAUGAACACCAUCUAUCAUCUUGAUUCGACUCCUAACAUGGACCCGAGUAUUAUACGUCAUCCAAAUCACCUUUAAAAUGCCAACCAGCGGAACUUCUUGGAUGUAUAGUUAAUUUUGUUUGUUAUUCCAGAAAGAUCUUCAACACCUUUGGACAUACGUACGGAUCUGUCAUUAAUCCAUUUGCGUGCAAAUCUUGUUGGCAAAGCAAUAUAUAUAAUUAUAUAAAAUACCAGCACACCAGGCCUGUGUAAUCAUUACAUAAUUAAUUACAAAAUGAUAAAAUACCACUAAAUUAGACCAGCAUAAUUGAAUUCUAAUCCCCAUUUUCUCCCGCAUCUUAAAUCUCAACAUUUAACUAGUACAAAGAAAAAAAGGAUUAAACUAGUGUAAUCAAUACGUAAUUGUUGCUUGGUAGUUUUGUUUAGACUUAUAAGAACCUGUUUUAAAGUCAUGAAAGAGACUGUAAAGUUAAAAAUCAAGAGACAAUUUCAAAUGAAAUGACAUAAUAGAUAUGUAGUAACAUUAUUGAUACACGAAUAAUACUUGUAAAUAAUUACAAAACUUAGAGUAGAAAGUCAACAAAGGUGAGUUCAUAGGUACUGUGUGUGGAAAAAAAUGGAGGUUGACUUUCCGCAUUUUUAGAUUGUGAGAGCACGAUUGACUUUGCAGACUGUGUCCUUUUCCUCCAUACAUUGUGCUCUUUUUUUUUAAAAAAAAAAAAAAAAAAAUUUCCCAAAAGAGAUAUUUUAUAAUACUCAACUAUUAUAAACAGCUAAUUUAGCCAACUGGCCUUACAUCCUUCCCCUGUGCUUUCUUCCAUCAUCAUUCAUUCAACUUUAAUUUUACCUUUUUGACAAUGUAAUGUAGUUGAAGCAGUGAACUUUAAAAAGGGGUAAGUAGACUGCAAAUUUACAAAUAUUUUAAAUUACAUAUUUAUCAUAUCAUUUUCUAAAUCUUCAGGGGUAGACAAAUUCUGCACCCUCAAGAUAUAUGGCUCCACUAGUAAUUGUUAGCAGUUACUCCAAUGGAUUGCAUAAAUUGAUCCUUCUCAAUGUCAAAAUUACUAUUAGUGAUCAAGGUCUUCGCGAAAUACAAUCAUGGCUGUCGAUGAGGCUUUGAUCUAGUAUUUAAGAUUGAGGUAUCAGGACUUGAGAUCCUGAGUUUAAGUUCCCUCAUUCCCAUUUUCAACUUUUUAAAUCUUACUCUUCCUCUAUUAAUAAAUAAAUAAAUAAAUACAAUUAUGGCUCUGUGAGCGGGGGAACCUACAAUUAGGGGUUUCAGGCAGACUUAGGCUAAUUUUUUUUUUUUAAUUUUCACUUUAUUUGAUCAGUACGUAGUUUUCGAUCCCUUGGGAACGGUCUAUGAUUAGGCUUCCUUUUUUUCUUUUAACGUCCAAUGUCACUUUUUAUUGAAAGAAGGUUAUACAAGCAACUAAGCAAGUACGUGUAAAAGCACAGUAUUACUACUUACACGAUGUCAGGCUAGCUAUUUACUUUAGAGACAAAAAGACAAAAAGGUCAUCUAUACCGUCAAAUAUCCAGUGCAUCGACUUAAUCAGUAGUCUUUUGAAUUUCCUUCCUUUCAAUUUUUCUUCUCCGAUUUGAUACGCUACCUCUCCCAUCACUUGGUAAAAUCUUUUGUAACUUUACUACUAAUUUUUUGAUUUGUUUUACUUGAUUCUGUAGUUUAUAAUUUGCUAGGAUCCAUAGCUAGUGAUUACUUUAUCACUACACUUCUAAUCCAUUUCUUUUUUUUUUUUUCUAGCCACUUCUAAUCAACUUCAUUACUUCAAGAAAUUGUGUUUUGAUUAACCGAGAGGUAACAUUAGUGAUUUGGAGUUGACAAAAACCUCUUUACCCACCAAAAAAUAAAUAAAAAAAAGAAGAGAAGAAACGUAUAAACCAUAUCUGCAAGAAUACCAAAUUCGCAAGAAUAAUUUUGUUUGUUGUCCUAUCAAAUGUUUAAAAAAGAACCCUACUGAUAUCAUCAUUUGACAUUCCCAAUUAGAGAAAUAAGCCACUUUCUUAAGCAUAGCUUAUUUGCUAACUAGAACUUCACAACGUUGCUCAAAUAUAAUAUGCUCUUGUCACAUAAAUAAAGUUCCAAUGAAGAUUAAUAAAUUAGUUAAAUUAGACAAAAAUUUCUUAUCACACAAAUUAUGCUUGAAAAGGGAGGAAGUAAUAGCAUGGUAGAAUUCAAAUAGAAAAUGAAAGAAAAAGAAAAAGAAAAUGAAAGCAGUCCUUGCAUUUACAGCGGUGGGCACUGAAGAUUUUGGUUUUAUUCUCUGGAUGAAUAAUUAGGCAUGACAUCUUUGACUGUUACUCUUGGUGGGCAAACACAAGCUCAAUUCCAUUUCGUCUUCUUGGAAUGGAAUCGGAAACAGAAUCUAAGAAAAAUACAAAAAGGGAGUAGGAUGGAAGGGGGAAAGGAAAAUUAACAAAAAGGGACGUAAGAAAUUGACAAAUAAGGAUUAAAACUGACAAAUAAGGCUUCUGCAGCUCAGUCCCUGCUACCAAGCAAGUUCAUUGAUGAAAAUGAUUGCCGACUUGAGAGUGACACGGAGUUCAUUUUGUUCUUUACGAAAAUGCAAUUGCAUGGGACUCGUUAAGUGAUUUGAAUUUUGACGAACAACAGUAUAAAGCACAACCACUCAUGAAAUGUAGCACACUUUUGUUGAACUCACAAAAUAUCUUGGAGCUGAAAUUUGUUCCAUAUCUGUAAGUACUCAUGGAAUAGUGGUUAGUUGAUAGAAAUUCUUGGGUAAAAACAUUUUUUUGUUAAAUCUUUUGACUUAUUGUCUCAAGCGUUAUGUUGACUAUAACAUGCCAAUCGUAAUCUUGAACUCAAGAUUGGGCUCAAUUCAUUAAUUAUUAUUAGUAUGAAGGAAAAUUUUAGGUGGAGGGUUACGAAAACUGAAAGCUAGGUUAAAUGCUGGUUAGACCUAGAAAAUUUCCCAAGGGUUUUGUGUUGUUAUAGGAUCUUUUCAGUUCUAGUCCCAGGCAUUACUUUGAGUUUACAGGGCCACAUUUAUCUCGAAUUAAGCUGAGCUCAACUCAUAAUUGAGCGUAAUUGAAUAUAAUGAACCCUUGAGCUCAAAUCAUAAUAUCUAAUUUAGCAUUACUUUGAGUUUGGCAAGUCAUUCAGCAUAAUUAUGCCUUGAGCUCAAAUCAUAAUCUGUAAUUUAGCUUUACUUUGACUUUAGCAAGUCGAUCUUUUCUAUUGAAUGUAGUUAUAGGAGUCUUGGAAGACUGACCGCCGAGGGUUGAGGAAAAUUAUUUUCUAUUUUGGGGAGAAAUGUAGUUUUUGUCCUCUCAAAUGUUUUGUACAUUUGUUAAAUUGGGACUCAAUGUUUUGACCAAAAUAAAUAUGGCCUCUUAAACUUUUGAUUUUAGACACAUAUAGAAUAAUUGAUAAAAAUCCAACAAUGAUGAACAGUUAAAAUCAAAUUGCCAUUAUCAACAAUUUUGACUUUUUUUUUUCCCACGCUAGUUGAAGUUUGAAUCAUUCUAGUCCUUUGAGUUUUAAGUAGUGAUAUUGAGGAUUUUAAAAUAAAAUGAUAAAUGCAAAUUAGAAUGAAAACACCUUCAAUGGGUAAUAGGAUUUAUAUCAAUAAAAAAGAUAUAGAAAAGUUAGUUAAACUUCAAAAAAAAAAAAAGCUAAUUAAGCUUCUUUUUUCUUCAUUUAAUUUUUUUUAUUUCACUUGUUCAUGCCCCUAACUUCACAGGAAUGACUAAAAAAACUCAAAUUGGUCUCAAAUUCGAUAUAAUACUUGUAAUUACUAUUUUUCCCUGUUGGUGAUUAUGUGACAAUGAGUACUUCUAUUAUUUCUUAUUUGUAAUGAUAAUUAAACGACUUAUUUGAAACAGAAGGAAUAUAUACUAAUUAAAAUUAAGUUGAUCCUUCUUUAUUGCAUUUUAAUAGGUUAUUAAUUGAGUUCGAAAAGAAGUAGGUAUUUUGUAAAAUUAUUGAACAAUUAUCAAAUAAAUGAAUAUUAAAAUAAAUAUUUCAAAACUUUGGUGUUAAAUCAUUGGAUUUUAAUAGGAAGGAAAAUAAGAAAAAAAAAAGAAGCUUUAUCAAGAAUUACUAAAAGUACUUUAUAUUAGUACCUAUAUUCAAUAGUUUCUAUAAUCACAAUUCUUAGUUAUUUUGAAGCCUACGUCGACAACUCAUGCAAGAUUUUGUGUAAUGGUACUUAUAAUAAACUUAUUUAUGAAAGCUAGAAUUCUCCCAUUCUUCAACAACUUAUUUUCAUUUUCUUAUUUAGUGUUAUAUAAUUGUAACUUACUUAACAAAAAGAUUUUCUUGAAGCUAAAUGUUGACAUCAUGCGCCGAUAUAAUUUUUUUUAUGAAAAAGUAUAUAGGGAUUUAAGAAUACAUUUGUCCUAUAUUUAAUUCAAUUUAGAAUUCAUUUCAUCUUAAAAUUAUUAUAACUACUUGAAAUCUAAGGAACCAUAGUAAUCGAAAUUCCAAAUAUUAUGGACUAAAAAUACAAAGUCAAAGCUUUUGACUAAUGAAAAAUUUUGAUCUUAAGCAUUAGUUAUUAUGAAAUUUUGUCAAUUCUCCUAAAUUUACCUAAAAUUAGAAUCUUUGGGGACUAAAUUUUUUAGCCUAAAUUUUUUAGUUUGGCAUACAGACCAAAUAUCAGGGACCGAAAUUAUAUGUCACCUUAUAUUUUGGGCAACUUACUAUUUAUUUCCCUAUCUUACUCUGUACCACAUAAUCCUCUUAUGGUACAAUAUGAUGUAUUUUAACCCGUCUAUGGUUUUCUGAACAGACAGGAAGUAUCUCGAGUGAUAUCAUUAAUUGAAAUACCAGUUAUACCCUCACUUAAUAUGAAACAUAAUAUGGAUUUAACCACUUUGUACAAAAUCAUGAAGGUAUUAUGUAGUUGGAUGUGAAAUCAUAGGGGUUAAGUGGACGUUAGGAUUUGACUGUGUGCCAAAUUUCAUGCUUCACAAGAAUUCUAGAGUGAGUCUAGAUCAAACAAUGUAACAGAGGUGCUUUAGGUCAAUAUACUGCUUUUAUAGAAAAUCACAGGGAAUCAAGUAGACAAUAUAAAAUAAUAGUGGGAUUGUAUGAUAAAAUGCAAAAUCAACUACAAGGUCAUAAAUAGUUAUUUACCCAUUUAUUUUGUCGUAAACAACAACAAACCCCAAUACCCUUUGAUUUGAUGGCAGAACCAAAGACUGCCCGUUGAGUGGCAAUUUGAAAUAAAAAAUAGUUCGGUAACUCUCAAAAUAGCUUAGUGGCUAUUUUUGUUUUUUUUUUUUGACCCUUUGUGCUUACUAUACAAAAGAUAGCUAUAUUUCGAUCGUUUUGGAAGUUAAAUUUCAUACACCAUCCCAACCCUUAAUAGCCUAGUCUUAGGAAUGGCCAAUACCUUUUCCCCUUGCCUAAAAUUCUUCCUCAGGAAACUAUAGGCAUUGUUGACAAUAAACUUACGGAAGAAGCAUGAAUCUUGUUUUGCCACAACUUUUGCUUCACCCAAAAGAUAAAACACACCUUGCUCUGAGGCUUUAUCCACAGCCUGUAGCUCAUCUUCCAGACCCAACUGAUUGGACCCUGCGGCAAGCCUGAUCGAGGAAUUGAUUGAUUUGGCCUCAUUGAAUGAUUGGAUUGAGUUUGACGAAUUUUGCGAUACACUUUGUUGUGCCUGUGGUAAUGAUUCCUCGAUAUGAACUACAGAUGCACUGGAUCGUCGAGGUUUUCCAUCUUUCAACAGCAAUCCUGAAUGUUGCUGGACGUUUACAAAAUCAGGCUCUAUAUGCCCACUUACAUGGACAAAAUACUCAUGUCUUAUGAACUCCUUCAAGUUCUCCACUAGCUGCUGCUCAAAAACCUCAGAAUCCUCGAUUCGGUCAUUGUAUCCAUACCUUACUACACAUCGAAAAACCCUGUAAUCUCUAGGCUCAAUUUGUCGAAACAGAAACCUUUCAUCCAAUGCCACUUUACUGACCGGGAUAGACUUGAUGGAAACCAGCACGAUGAUCGAGUGAACUGAGUGAAUGUUAGAAACAAAAUGGGGAAAUAUUGGUGGAAUACCCUGGACGAGUUCAGAAUACAACAAUCCAAUUCCAGGUGCUCUUUUUAUUUGUGGAUUUUUGGCCAAGUCCCUAACAUAGUCGCUGGAUACCUUGUUGUUGAGCUCAAACAAGUAACGCUGCUUGUGGACGUAAUGCCAGAUUCCCAUGAUUAUCAUCAAGACAAGUGCAAAAGCCAAAGGAAGAUAUCCUCCAUCUUUGAAUUUGUAGAGUACAGAUGACAGAUAUGUCAUCUCUAUGGACAUAAAUACCACAAAGAAUAUAGCAAUCCACCAUAUGCUUGCCUUCCAUAUCACAAGCAUAAUUAAUGUGAGUAGAGAAGUUGUUAUCACCAUGACAGCAACCACAGCAAUACCUGUAUCAGAAUGUUUGCUGUCACAAAAUAGAAUAAUCCAUAAUUCCACGUAUAUUUUACUUUAUUUUGUUUUAUUCUUUUGCUAUUUGACUCAACAACCAGAUGAAGGUCUCUGCAGUUUUUCAAAUAAGUUUGUCCCCAAACUUCAUUUCACUAGGAUCCUCCCGAUUUAUGGCAAAUGCAGGAUCCCUCUAUAUAUCAAUCAUAUAGUAUUAGCUCUGAAUAUCAGUUGUAAAAAUUCGAAAUUGUUUGUAAUUUAUUUCAUAGGUGAUAUAUGUAGUGUGCAAAAAUUGAAAUAUAAAAAAUUGAGUUCAAAUGUGGAACAAUCCUAGAUACUUUGUCAUUGAAAUGUUUUGUGCAUUUUAAAUAAGCCUCUCAAAAGUUGCAAUUGAAUCAAACAGCAAAAUAUUCUCCUGGUGAUCUAAUUUUUAGUAAAUCCUUCACUCAUCAAGAUAAAAACCAUGUUCUCGGAUCCUUAGUCAAGAAAUUAUACGUAAUUGCCAAAACCAAUGUUCAAGGUAAAAUGAACAAUUAAAUAAAUGGAAUUUACUGGACGAAUCCAAAUAUGUCAUAGAGCAUAUCCAUCCUUGAUUACUAUGUACUUCUAUUCUAAAUUCAAAAGUAUGGAAAUCGCGAUUACCAUAGGCAUUGCCGAUCUUUGUAGUAGAUUUGAAGCCCCAAGUAACCAGGACACAAGCAAUCAUGAGGAUGUAGUUGACCUCAGGAAUGUAAACCUGGCCCUCAUACUUGGCAGAAGUAUGAAUAAUUUUAGCCCUUGGGAAACAACCAAGACUAAGGGACUGAGAAAUAAUUGCAAAGGCUCCGGAUAUCAUAGCUUGACUGGCAAUAAUGGCUGCAGCCACGGCUAUAACGAAUGUAGGCCAAUAAAUUGGAUCUGUUUAUUCAGAUAUUCAAUUUAUUAGUAAGUUAUUGACAAGUGGUUUAUUCUUUACGAACAUGGUAGAAAUCUACAAAUUCUUUCCAUAAUCCAUGGCUAACGGUAGGCACUUGCCUGGAAUUGAAUCGUAGAAUGUCUUACUGACAUGAUCUUGAAACUUCAUCAGGUAUGCAGCUUGCCCUAUAUAAGCUGCUAGUAUAGCUGGGAACACUAUGCUGGAGAAACUGAUCUGCAGAAUUAUGGAAAAGUUGGAAGAUCACAAUGUAUAAUGUUCCCCACAUAUAUUAUCAGGAUUGGCAUUAAUUUUUCCUUCUAUGUAUUGUCAUUUUUCAGGAAUAAAAUUGGCAUGAAAUCAAGCUAGCAGUCACCCGUAAAUUUAUAAGCAAUCUUUUUUGUUUUGGAUAAUUGGUGAGUUUUAUAUAAACAAAAUAUAAGAAUUUACGAUCUAAUAGUCAAUUUUCUGUUCUUUUAUCUUUCCCUAUAAUUCUAAAAAGAUCAAGGGGAAUGUUUGACUCAAAAAUAACUUUAUAUACCCUAUGAGAUAACUAGCCAUAAAGUCAGCAGUUUGAUUAUAUUGACGAUACACAAAAUACACAGUCACCUCCAUAAAGCAUGAUAUUUUCUUUAUAUCAGAAUAUGCAGCUAAGUAGGCGGAGAUAAGCAUUAUUGGUCCAAAGAAUAUAUAAUUAGAAUCUGGUUUAUGUCUGCAACAACCUUGAAAAUGUGGUGGAACUCCACUUCAUGGCUCAGAUUGAGUUCGAGUAGCUUGAAUUUUUAAUACUAGGAGAUUUCAAAAUUUAUGCUUAUCCUGUUAAAAAAUUGCUGAAUAUGAAAAAUUGAUGGAAAGAAAAUCUUAUUUUAUCUUGUACAAUGAACUAACCUGAAUGAGGUCUUACGAAAUUAAGGUCAAAUUAAGAAACAAAUAGCUUAGUUCAUAUUUUAGGAGAGCGAAAUAAUUGGUGAUAUUUGACUAUUUGAGUGACAUACCUGAACGGCUCUCACGCUAAAGUGGCCCAAAUCAGCAAACAUAGCUUCAGUCCCUGAUUCAUGUGACCAUUUGCUGGUGAGGAUACACUAACUAGCCACAUUAUCCUAAUUGAAAUUGAGAGUGUUUAGCCACUAACCUGUAAUGCAUAGGACAACUCCACCUAGGGAUAUCCAUCCUUUCUUGCCAUUUCUUUUGAAGUAAUCAACAAUGUAUUUUGGAUUGAAAGCACGUAGGACCCCAACAUCAUGCUUGAACAAAUUAUAGAGGCCAAUACCAGAUAUGAACAAAAACCACAAGCAGAUUGCAGGUGCAAAUGUGAAGCCAACCUUGUCAGUUCCAAAGCGUUGGGCGCAGAAAAGAAUAAUCAAUAUCACAAUUGAAAUUCCCACGAUCGCAUCUGGAAAUUCAUUAAGUUUGUUAUGCAAACUUGGAGUACCAUUGCAUUACGUGUAAAUAUACGCGUGUACGGAAAUCCAAAUGCAAGUCUGUCUUAUGUAAAUGUAAUACCUUGGCCUAGGGAUGGAAUCCCGCUCACAGCGGAUAGAACUGCAAAAUGAAGACCAUGAGCAUUUUACGUAGUGUUAAUUGUUGUGUAAUAUAUUAAAUGUAAAAGCAAAGUUCAAGAUAACGUCCACAGGAUGAUGCCUCUAAAACCUUCCCAUGUCCUCUAGGGAAGGGACAUGAACAGCUGAACUUGUACGAUUUUGUCACAAAGAUGCAAUAUUUAGGUACCGUUCACUGAAACCAGUACAUAUCAAUCUUGUUAGAAUUACAUGGCCUGAUCUAAGACUUGCAUUUUUCCUUUUUGUGUUGGUCGCCAAAUCUUGGCCACCAAUCUAAGCUUUGUAUUUUAAUUGUUCCUACCCUUAUCUUUUUCGUCUCUACUACUGUUAGGAUGCUGAAUGCUUAUAUACAAUCACCAUUUUUCCAGAAUUUGAACAUUUAUAUCAAUGAUAUCUUUUUAUAAUGUCCUAUGACUGCCUUCAAUGAAAAAUUUACUGAAUUCUAUUCCUCAAAUUAUUUAGCAUAUUUCGAUCAACUUUGAAAGUAAUAAGUAUCCGGUGAUAAAGGGUCUGACCUGAAAUGCAGGGAGUGAGGACCCCAUCACCAAUUACCAUUGAAGUUCCAAGGAUGGUAACAAUGAAAAGCACCAUUUUCGCAUUGGUGCUGCUUUCAAGUUUUUCCUUGACCAUUUGAGCUCUUCUCAGCUGGUUGGAGGGUAUAUCCAACUUGUAGUUAGAAACCUCCCUGUCCUCUGGCUGGUGGUUUGGAAUUAGGCUCGCCUUCGCAUGUCUACAAAUCAAGGAGUAGAGAGCAAAUGUCCCGCCUGCAAAUGAACAUGCAUCACUUGUUGCAUUUUGCAAGAAUUGCUUAUUUAUGUAUCUUUCUUUUAGAUGUAAAACAACAGCAAAACGAUAUCAAGCUUGUCAUAAAUUUAAGAAUUAGGACCUCUGAAAUAGCUUGAUCAGAUAGUAUUUCCGUACUUGAAAAAGUCAAUUUUUUUUUUUUAAUAAAUAUGAUUACAAGUAACCCUUAAUGACCACAUGAAUACAUACCAACAACAACUUAACCUACUAAAACUGAUAACCUACGAAUAGUGGGAUGAAAACUAAGAUUUAAUCAAAAUAAACUUAGGAUUGAUUCUACUUCGCAUCUUUCAACUAUAUCCCAAUUUUCACUUUGGUUUCUAAAUUUUAAAAUGAGACACUUUGGUCACUAAAGGAUAACAUCCAUCCCACUUAAUUAAAGGCUCUGCUACUUUAAUCCAUAAACUAUAAAAUUAUGUAUACUUUAGUCACUUACUUAAAAGGCUAUUCCACUUUAGUCCGUAAUAUAUAAAAUCUUUCAUACUUUAGUCCUUAAAGUGAGACAGAUUUUAUAUUUAAGUGAAACAGAUUUAUACUUUAUGGAUUAAAAUAUGAAUUUUUUAAAAAAAUUUAGGAAUCAAAUUACGAAUUUAGAUAUGGUUGAAAGGUACAAAGUAGAAUUAAUCCCACAUUUUAAAAACUCAUAUCCAGUUUCUCGUUAGUUUGAUGAGCAUAAUUAACAACUCUUCUACAUGCACUAGGAAGUCAAAGGUCAUAAAUGUAUUCAAGUCAAAGGUUAAAUUUUGAGUUUUAUUGGUUGAUCUGCUUUACAUAAACAUAAGGGAUGAAUCAGUCAUGCCUGAUAUUUUUUCGAGAAACUGUUUAAAAACUGAUGAUAAUGAUGCUAAUGACGUUUAGCAAAGUACUUACCAUCACCUUUGUCGUUUGCCCACAAGACAAUAAAGACAUACUUGAUCAUGGGCACCAAAAUGAUGGUGUAGAUAAUGAGAGACAACACCCCAAGGAUGUCGUUUUUGUCGUCUAUUCCAUCAGGAAAAGUACUAGAAAAAACGUAUAGCGGAGAAGUCCCGAUGUCUCCAUAAAUAACACCUAGGCUUUGAAAUGCCAAACUCAACGUCUUUAUCCAACCUAAAUCCUGCAUUAUUAAGGCAUCAUUUGAUUAAAAUCCUAAUAUCUUUGGUAUUCUUCGACUAUACUUUAGGUUGUUUCGUAAAUUGAAAAAAGCCAAUUGCGCAAAGUUACGGCAAUAAGAUGCUCCACCACAACUACAUGUAGACAAAACUAAGCUAAAGAAGAAUAGAAUGGUGGACAAAUGGUAUAAAUAAUAACAUUAUAGCGAGAAUAAAACUUUUCUUUUUAAAGAGUACAAUUAAACCACAAUUAGGGAAUAAACAUACACAUAUCCUUAAAUUUCAAGUGACAAGAUUACAAUUUCUCCCAAAAUAUGAAAUAGAUAUUAUAUUAACCUAAAUUAACAUUUGUAAUAUUUGAGUUCAGUACCUCUUAUUUCUGAACUUUGAACUUUUUUUCCAUUAUUUUAUUAUCAAUUUAAGAUCUUAUUAGCAUGAGAAAACGCUCUAGGCAUGGAUAGCUUUGAAACACAAAUUUUAUCUUUGCAAAAUUGAAUACCAAAACUCAUGGCACUAAUUUAUGAUUUAACUUUUGGGAUAAUUUUAGAAACCUCUCCUAAGGUUUCAAACAAUUUAACUGAGUUCACCUAAGGUUUGAAAAAUUACACUUACCUCCCUUGAUUUGAUAGUUUUAGAAACAAAACCUUAAAAUACUAUUGACUUGGACAAUUUUUUAAAUGAAUAUCUAAAAAUGCCCUUGUGAAAUGAGUUUUAAUUUAUUUUCCUAUACAAUUAUAAGAUUAUUUAGUAUAAUUAUAAGGAAAAGGUGCCAAAUUUUUUAUGUCCAUAUCUAUUAUUUAAUAAACAACUAUAAUAAUACUUUUAUUACUAUGAUAUGAUAUUUUUGAUGGUGUUUUAUUACAGAUUAGAUUUAUAGGAUAGAAAAGAAAAUGUUGAAAUAAUUCAUUUAGAGUUUAUAAAUUUUUGGAGUAGUGGGAUUCUCAUAAUUUAGUAGUGCUUUUGGACCAUUUCUUUUUUUAUUUAUUGUUAAUUUUAAUACCAAAAAUAGAAAACAAAGAUCAGCAAAAAUAUUAGAUUACAUAUAAAAUUAAUUCAUCAAAAAAAUAACUAAUUGGACAUUAAACCUAGAGGCAAUAGUGGGUGUUUUACAGUUUUAUUGGCGAAAAAUUAAAAAAAGGAAUAAAAAGGAAAAAGAAUGAAAAAAUUAUUUUAAAACCCAUUCUAAGUAUAAGCAUACCAAGCAAGAGAAAUUCAUUAAAAUAUUUAAGGGUGAAAUUAUCAUUUUAAAUAACAAGAGAGAUAUGUGUAAUUUUUUAAAUCUCGGGGGAAUUCAAUGAAAUUGUCAAAAACCUUAGGGGAGGUUUCUGAAAUUAUCCCUUAACUUUUCAUAAUCAAUUUAGAAGUAGAAAGAGAUAGAAAAAACCGAAAAAAAAAACUAGAAUAGGCAGGUGGACUAGUACUAUCAAUAGGAAUUAACCUUGGAGCCGUGGCCGCCAUGAUGGCCGGAAAUUCUACCGGCCUCCAAAUCAAGAGAGUCGAUGCGGCGGAGUUUGCCCCAUGAGAAUUUCCGGUCCUUGAUAUCGGUGAUGGUUGUUUUGGUGGCGCGUUGAUCUUGAAUGGCCUCCCGAUGAACAACUACUACUUGCUCACGGGGAGCUAUAGAGCUCCCAAUCCCAGGAUUAGCAGCCAUUCCUCUAAUUUCUUUCUUACAAUUAAAUUUUCUUUGGGAUCACUCCAAUUUUCCCCUGCAUUUGAAUUAAGCGAUUUGCAUGGUUUCAUAUGGCUUUUAUAGUACUAGAAUAUACCAUGUACUAGGUAGUGCUUACAAAGUACCUAAAAAAAUAUACCAUGUACUAGUUAGCACUUACAAAGUAUCUUAAUUUUUUAAGCUUCCUUCAAUCAGGGGUUGUUUAAAAGUCAGCUCUUAAUUGAUUUGUCCUCUGAGUCAAAAAUGAAUAUAAAAACUUGUAAGCAUUUCUGAAUUCAGUUUGCUCCUUCACCCAAUUCCGAAUGUCCAAUGUCUCUGUUCAUGUUGCUUCGUCAACUUCUACCUCCUCUCCUUUGGUUCAAUUAUUGUGCUUAAUCAAUUAAUUAACAGAUGGUGGCCAACUUGUUAAUUAAUUUACCAGCACUAGUACUAUAAAUUAAGGAAUUAUUACUAGUUUUUUAAUGGAUAAAUAAGUAUUCCCUUUCCCUACUCUUAACCUUCUCUCCACCAUUCUUCGUCCAAAGAAGAAAAAUCUUAGUCUCAAUUUAAGGUCUCCCUUCCUCUUCCUCUGCUUUUUUUUUUUUUAAUGUUUAAUAAACUCUCUCCUACAGUAUCCUAGUAAGAGUUUUCUCUUGCCUAAUGUUUACUAGUGAGAGUUUUUGUCUCUAUCUCCUAGGCUAUUCUAGUGGAAGUUUUGUUUAGUUUUUUGUUUGUUAUUAUUUUCUCAAAUCUAAGAGUUUUUUUUUUCAGAUCUAUAUGUUAGAUAUAGAAUUUCUUGGAUCUUUUUGUCAUAUCUCAACAUUAGUUUGGAAUUUGAACUAGUUGAACAACAGAUCAGAGAGAAUAGACAUGGACAUGCAUUGUAAUUUAUGGAGCAGCCUGUGUACUUAGUCAAAUUUAAUGAUUUUUUAUUUAUAGUGUAAUUUUUAUAUUUUAUAAUUUUGUUAAAUCUAAUGCUUUUUCAAAUCAGAUAUAUAUGUGAUACAUUUUACGUAUUUUCUACCAUUAAUACAGUUUUCUUUGACAAGCAAAAUCAUACUAGACAAUUUCUAACUAAUUUAUUAAUAAUAUUGACUUUUGUCUUAUAUAAAAAAAAAUAUUCUCUUUCCCUUAUUUCUACUCUUUGGGCAUCGACAUUCGCGUUCAUGUACUUAAUUUCGUCAUUGAAAGUCCGCUAAUGGAAUCAUAAUCAGUAUUUUAAUCAUAAGAUUCUGCCAUGAAUCUUGGCAUGAACUGGCUUUGGAUGAAUUCAACAUUCAAGCUUAAAUUCUUAAAGCAGUAAUUUUAGAUGGUGAUCCAGUGUGCAUCAAUUUCUGUUUUAUAUUACUGAACGAACUAUCAGCAUUAAAGGAAGGUACUAAACCUAAACCACUCUAUCCCAUAUUCACAACAUUGAUGCCUCAAUGAUUACAGUUAGGGUCCGUUUGUUUCGGGUGAAAAUGUUUUCCAAGAAAAUAUUUUCCUAAUUUCCCGUGUUUGGUUGCACAAAAGUUACUGAAAACAUUUUCCUAUGUAAAAUAUUUUCACUCAUCUUAUGGAAAACAACUUCCCUUCCAAACUUACUGAAGUUGUUUUCCGAAAUGCAUGUAUCCCGCCUGUAGUAUGUUCCAAACUUACUGAAAACAUCUUGUAGUAUGUUUUUUUUUUUUUUUUUUAAGUGUAAACAGGAGGACUCGAACCCAAGACCUCUUCCUUACACUCCCUCCCCCGUACCACCUAACCCAACCCAACCCUCCCCCUAGUAUAUUCAAAAUAAAAAAAAAAUCUCAUCCUGCUCAUCCUAUGCUAGUAAUUAAUUAUGUAUAAUAGGGACAUUCUUUUCUAGAGCAACUUUUAGCAGUGAGAGUGCAAGAUAUAUGUCACAAUAAGCAUUGCAUGUGAUUGAUAUUUGACACUAAAUGGCCAGCAAUUUGUUUAUUGCUUAAGGAGAUAUUUUUUAUUCAUAUAUACGUUUCUCCAAGAUUUUUUAAAAUUAAACAAUGAGAUAAAUUUUCUUAUUUUGCAUGGGAAGAAGUAUGUAGUUAUAAUGUGUAGAAAGUAAAGAUAGAGAUAAAAGUGAAAAUAUUUCAAAAGUUAAACAAACACCAGAAAAAUGAAGUAAGAAAAUAUUUUCAAUAAGCUAACCAAACACCUGAAAAUGAUGAAAGAGAAAUGAUUUUCAUGGAAAAUUACUUCCACGGAAAAUAUUUUCCCAAGGAAAACAUUUUACUUCCAACCAAACAGACCCUUAAUAUUAAAACUUCUACGAAGUGCUAAUUUUAGUUGAAUGGACGUGGAUUUAGUGUUUGUUAUUAUUAAUCUCAUUUUGCAGGAUGGAAUUUAAAUAAGCUAACAAUAUCUGAGUUAUUUGAAGAUCAUACAUUUUCAAAGAGUUAGUAAUGUUAAUCUACUCUUUAAAUUUUUUCUCUUUCUCUCUAACUUCCUCCUCUUCCUUUGAACAAAACAUCACCUUCUCUCUAACUAUAUCCGACUAAUAGUUUUUUGUUUUGGUGUAUAAUAAAGUCUUUUUUAAAAUUCUUAACGAGAGUAUUCUUCUCUUUUAGGAUGACAGGUUAUCGAAGCCUGUACAAUAAUAAAAUUUAACCUAAUUGCCAGUUAAAAUAACCAAAACCCAAUUCCAAGUACUAGAGCAGGGACUCUAGGUGUGCAAUGGGUUACUUGAUUCACCAUAUUCCCAAAGAGUUUGCUUAAUCCGAUAUACCCGAAUAGGAUGGCUUUUUUUACAAAUAAUUAUGAAUUUGUAGACAGGGCAAGUAGGAUCGUAUCCUCAGGGACUGGGGAUAUUUGUCUCUUAAGAAAUUCAAAAUAACACAGGGGGUGAUUUUGUAUGAAUGACGACAAUCAAAGAAACUCGAAUAAGAAAAUAAAAAUAAAUAACUAACUAGAAAUUAAAUGACAAUUCACUAAACUUAGAGUAACAAUAAUUAAAGGUCUAAAAUAAUUAAAACAAGAAAAUAAUUAAAAAUAAAAUAAAAUAGGCAACUAAAAAUCAAAUGGCAAUUCACUAAAAUCAAGGUAAUGAUAACUAGAGGUCUAACCAAGAAAUAACUUCAGCAAUGGUUCACCUAAUUGAUCAUCGAUACAAAUGCAGUUCCAAUUAUUUACUGAUAAAUAGGUUAUAACAGCCAAACAAGCGCUGACAGUCAACCCUUCCUUAGUGUGUCGGUGAUUAAGGCACGCCCGUUAAUCACUGCUCUAAUUGAGAGAUAACCCUAGGUACGCCCGUAAGAUUUAAUUCCUCAAUUGCCUUACGUAUUAGAGGAGUCCUAUUCUAACCAAAUAACGCACUACCAGGGUUAUUUCAGAUUAGCCCGCGUAUCCCCCUAACACGAAUCUAAUCGUGCCAGUUGUCACUAUUUCAAGACAAUUAAACAAUUACGGACUUAAAUGCCUUAAUUGACAAUAGAUUACCAAAUUAACUAAUUAUUCGGAUCCAAGACAAUCAAUUAAUUAAAUAACCAUAAGCAUAACAAUCAAGAAAAAUGCGAAUACCAAUAAAUAAAAGAAAAAUAUUAAAUUAAAUCGAUCUUACAAUUUUUUAGGCGACCCAAAGCAUCCGUUGUUUCUUGACUAGAGUGAAAAAAUUAAUUCAUAUUUGAUGAACAAAGCCCACAGGAAAUUGAAGCAACAGUAGCGGCCAUUGACUCCAAAAUUAAGAAAAUUCAAUUCGCUUCGGCAAUGAAGGAAAAGUCAAGAUUACAAAGAAUGCCCAAUUGCUUUUCUUUGCCUUCACAUCUGAUGGAAGCAAAGGCACAAUAGGACGAAAAGAGGAAAAGUCAAAAAGGGAAAAAGAACUCCCCAAAUAGUCCCCCUUCUUUUUGACAAAAAAAAAAAAAAAAAUAGUCCCCCUUCUGCUAUGUGUAUUUCCUAUCUAAUACUACUGUCUCCGUCUCUUCUUUUUUUCUUUUCUUGCGGCGGCUCCACAAGGAAUAGAAGACCAAGCCCUCCGUCCGUCCUUGCUUUCGCAGAAAUUACCAAAAUAGGCGUAACGUCUUCUUUUUCAAAGAUACCCCUGGCACAAAUUCUAUCAUUUGGACUCCUUUUCUGCUAAAUUUAAUCCACAUCAAAUCAGGUAAUAAGGGAAAUUAAUAAUAAAAUAAAUGAUAAAAUCGUAACCUAUUAAUUCCCCACACACCUAAACCAUGCUUGUUCUCAAGCAUAGGAACAGUAAACAAACACCAAUAUUUGACAAUGGCUAUUGCUCUAUCUCCCAAAUUGCCAAGAUACCAAGAAAAUCAUAAAUCAAGCAUCAGUGAUAAAAAUCCGAGAAACAUCACCCCGGUUAGCUUCUAAACCACAAACUCCUUCAAUUCCAAGUUAACUAAUCUAAGAAAAAGAAAUAACGCAUAACAUUUAUCAGCGAAUGGUCCAAAUAUUAACCAAAAUCUCAACAUUAAAUCCCUAAAUUGGCAAGCUGACUUUUAUCACACACUAACACAACCUUCACUUUUUGUUUUUCAUGUUUUCUAAUUUUUUUUUGACGAAAAGCACAAAAGACUUAGUCUCUAACCAUUGGAGCCUUUUGACACGAACUCCGAUAUUUUUCAAAUGAAGGAAUCCGGUUACUCAGCUCUUAUCGCUAUACGACCACGUACUCAUAGAAAUUACUAUUUUUUGAUGCGAAAAUCGACACUUUAGGUGAAAAACCCCAGUUACUCAGUAGUAAUGACUAGCGGAGUACAGUCAACUUUAUUUCACAGCCAGAUAACACAAUAACUCAAAAUAACAUAGCAAAAAAAAAACAAAAAUAGCAGCCGCUAGCCUCAUUUCUUCAAAUAUGGAGAACUAAAGUUAAUAUUGGACCAAUUCACAUGAAAAUACUAACAGUCAUUCCCUAUGCCUAGAAAAGUUAAAAAGAAAUCAAAAGAGUCAAGUAGUCAUCGAUAUUCACCAAAGAGAUGUUUUGGAUUCAACCAUAUUAACUCGAUACACUUUAUUAUUAAAACUUGGCAAGAGUAGAUUUAGAGUCAACGAUCCAACAUCAAACUUUGGCAUUCAUAUGAGAGCUCAUCACUAGAAAGAAAGAAAGAGACUAAGUGAAAAUGAACAAAUAACAAACUAAAAAUAAAAAACAAACAUCUAAAAACUGAAAAUUAGAAAAACUGGCACCCCAACUGAUCCAAUUCCCCCCACACCUAAACGAUACAUUGCCCUUAAUGUAGCAAAUGAAUAUCAAAAGUAGAAGAAAUGGCAACAAAACUCCCCUGAAAUCGGGUCAAAGUGGUAGGCGGGACGGGACUUGGGGUGGAAAACCCGUGUGCUGCAUGAAUGCCGCCAGAUUUUGUGCCAUGGCAGCCACAUUGUUGUCGAUGUUAAUCAUCCAAGCCUCCAAAUUCUCAAUCUGCGUCCGGAGCUGGCGCCAGUUCUUAGGCCCCUGGUGGUGGAAGGGGAUGAUCGGGGGUCGACGGGUCGGGCUCAUUGCCAACCGGGACCGAACAGGUAGAAGAAGAGCGAGGUGGGGCGUGGCUGUUGACAGCGUGCGAGGGAAACAGAAAGGGUUGCGCACUUGGCCAAGUGGGCAGCUGAGAGGGAGGGAGGGAGGCUACAGUGGAUAGCAGUGGCGAGAGGAGGAGGCAGACGGGCUGGGGAAGAAAAGGAGAGCUCGCGCGAGGGCUUCAGGUCGCGGCCAGGAAAGAACGGCAGCGCUUGAGCUGGUCGUCGCUGGUGGAGCUUGGCGCGGCGGAGCAAGGCGCGCGGACAGUGAAGGGGACGGUGGCGCUGGUGCUGCGACGAGCUGGUCCUCCGCGGCUGCGAGAAGGACGCGAGGAUGGUGGUGGUCGUCGGCGUUGUGGCGAGUUGCUUGCCAGUGGCAGCGGCGACGCGUGGAGCAACGGGUGGAGGGCAAGCUUCAGCAGCGGCAGCGCGCGAUGGGCUCAAUCGAGCGAGAAGAAGAAACAGCGGAGAAGAAGAAAGAAAGAAAAUAGGAAGAAAGAAAAAGAAAGGAAAGAAAGAAAGAAAGAAAAAAGAAAGAAAAAGAAAGAAAAGGAAAACAAAAUAGUUUUUGUGUGUUUUUUAUUCCUCUUUUUUUUUUCCUUUACGGAAAGUUUUUUUUCAACUUUAUUAUUUUGUUUUUAUUUUUUAAAUUGAAAAAAUUUUUGUUUUUAUAAUAAUAACUUUUUAUUUUUAUUUUAUUAUUUUUUUAAUAUCAUUAUUAUUACAAAACUUAUUUUUGAAAUUAAAAAUUAGAGAAUAACAGAAAAUCAAUAACCGUUCUUGAAUUCUUUUGAAUACUUACUUUUCCCGCGAACGUGACGCGGGCACGUCAAGAAGGCACAGAAUGAGGAGCUCUCCAGGUGACUUGACGCGGACACGUCAUGAGGACAAGAACCCCUUCUGACGAAUUUGACCAUGAGCUCUUCAUGGGACUUGAUGCGGGCACGUCAUGAGGAUCGAAACCCUUUUACUAAGCACCAGGAAAUUGCAAUGUGCCACGCGCCCAGUUGACGCGGGCGCGUCAUGUUAGAGGGAUACCUAUGAAUCAUCAAAAACAAAAAUUGAAGCCAGAAGUCAGUCAAAUUCAAGGGAAACAUAUUUAAAUUAACAAAUAAAAUCGAACAAACAAUUAAAAAAAAUUGGAUUGCCUCCCAAUGAACGCCUUUCUUUAAUGUUUUUGGCUAGACAUUGAACACCACUCUUCAAUUUGGGUGUAACUCAAUUUUCCUGAAAAUCGGUGGCCCUUCUCUAGGAUCCAAAUAGCCUUUGAGUACAGCUUUCUUUCUUAAUUUCCUACUCCUUUUCACCUCAUACAGUGCUUUCAUCCCCUUAUACUUGUUCUCAGUAAAUUUGAAUUUGUCCCUACAAGCAAACUCAGAAAAUUCUUGCACAAAGAGAUUAAUAGCAUGAAUAGCAAACACAGGGUGAGAGCUAACAGGAUGUUCCAUUGUAUCAAAAAUAUUAAAGUGGACUAGUUCUCCAUCAAAUUUCAUGGAUAAUGUACCCUUAUUAACGUCAAUUUUUGUCUGUGCUGUGCUAAAAAAGGGUCUACCUAGUAGCAAAGGUGAGAAGUCAGGGGAAUGAUCAUCAUCUAUGUCAAGUACAUAAAAGUCAGCCGGGAAUAUCAAUUCAUUAAUUUUAACCAGCAUAUCCUCGACCAACCCAUCAGGGUAUGCAUUUGUUCGGUCAGCUAAUUGAAUUAUUAUCUCGGUUUCUUUUAAUGGACCGAGGUUCAGAGAAGCAUACAUAGAUUUAGACAUUACGUUGAUCAAUACUCCUAAGUCCAGCAGGGUAUUUCUAAUCAAAGUAUUACCUAUCUUACAUGGGACAGUAAACCUACCUAGAUUCCCACACUUUGAUGGUAGCUUCCUUUGGAGAACUGCUGACACAUUCUCCCCCACGAUGACCCUUUCAUCUCCCCUCAGUCGUCUUCGAUUGACACAUAUGUCCCUCAAAAAUUUUGCAUACUUCGGCACUUGCUUGAUGGCGUCUAAUAGGGGAAUAUUGAUCUCUACCUUGCGGAACACCUCCAAGAUCUCCUUCUUCUUGUCCUGCUUUUUUGGUUUUUUCAAUCUGCUAGAAAAGGGAAGCGGGUUAGUUUUAACUAUAAUGACUGGGUCGGGAAGUACCUUUGGAUUUGUGCCACUGCUGUCCUUCUUCUCAAGCUUGUUUUCGACCUUUUUCUCAUCCUUGUCCUUUGGAAUCAUGAGUUCAGGCCCCUGAAUUUCCUUCCCGCUCCUUAAAGUCAUUGCACUUACAUUCUUCAGGUCCAAUUCAGGUUGAGAAGGCAAUUUUCCAAAAACUUGGGAUUCAAGGCGAUUGAUUGCCACUGCCAUCUGACUUAGCUGAUUUUGCAUUACUGGUAUCUGGUCCAGUUGAUUUCUCAUACUUUGUAGGUCAGAAUCUGUCUUUUGUUGAUUAGCAAUUAAUUGGUUCAUCAUCUCUUCUAUAGACGGGCUUGAGUUUGAAGGGGAUAGUGGAGGACGAGAUUGGUACUGUUGUGGGUACCCUUGCUGCCUGUUUGGUGCAAAAUUCGACUGCUUAUAUCCUCCAUAGCUGAGGUUAGGAUGAUCUCUCCAACCCGGAUUGUAUGUACUCGAGUAUGGGUCGUAUGGCUGUCUUGGCGAGGGCACGUGGCCAGCUAUGCUCACCUGCUCUGCAGUUUCUUCCUGAACCAGUGGACACACCUCUGUAAAAUGACCCACGGCAGCACAUACCCCACACACUUUGGCUUGUGAGGCACUUCCUACAACUAAUUGUCGCACGAAGGAUGUCAAAUCAAAAAUUUGCUGCUGGAUGGAGGAUGUUUCUACCUCAUUCACCCUACGCAUUGGGACAUCCUCCCCGUACCAAACUGCUGCGAAUUCUCAACCAUUCCUUCAAUUAGCUCCCAUGCUGCCCGAGGAGUCUUGUUCACUAACGUCCCUCCACUUGCAACAUCGAUUAUACUCUUGUCCCUGAAAAGUAGGCCCUCAUAGAAGUAUUGAAUGAGCAAUUGCUCACUUAUCUGGUGCUCGGGGCACUUGAUGCAAAACUUCUUGAAUCUUUCCCAAUACUCAUAGAGGGACUCGCCUGGGUGUUGCUUGAUACCGCAGAUUUCCUUCCUUAGACUUGCAGCUCGAGACGCCAGAAAAUAUUUGUCCAAGAAUUUUUUUCUUUAGCUGGUCCCACGUGGUGAUACUACCUGGUGGCAGGUAGUACAGUUAGUCUUUUGCAGAGUCCUUUAAGGAGAAGGGGAAUGCCCUCAUUUUUAUCUGCUCUUCUGUAAUACCUGGGGGUUUUAUGUUGUUGCAAACUACAUCAAACUCUUGCAGGUGUUUAUACGGCUCCUCACCUGGUAAACCAUGGAAUGAUGGUAAAAGAUGAAUUAGAUCAGAUUUUAAUUCAAAUGGAGUGUUAUCAUUUAAAUUUGGGAAAGUAAUGCAUAGAGGUUGCUGAUUUAAAUUGGGAGCAGCCAACUCCCUUAGUGUUUGUGCAUUCGCCAUGGUGAAUUCCUCCUGGUUUGAAUCACUUGAGUUAUCAACACGCAAAUCCAUUGACUCAACCUCUAGAUUAAGUUCUUGAGAUGCAACACUGGAUUGCUCCUCUCUGAGCUGUCUGUUUCCUUUCUUGUCCUACGCGCAGUCUUUUCUACCUCAGGGUAAAAAAUUAAUUCACCUGUACGAAAAGAACGAGGCAUGCACUAGAAGAAUACCAGGAAAUUAGAGCAAAAAAUGAACUCAAAAAGAAACAAAUAAUAAUGCCAGUCCCCGGUAACGGCGCCAAAAAUUAACAGGUUAUCGAAGCCUGUACAAUAAUAAAAUUUAACCUAAUUGCCAGUUAAAAUAACCAAAACCCAAUUCCUAGUACUGGAGCAGGGACUCUAGGUGUGCAAUGGGUUAUUUGAUUCACCCAGUUCCCGAAGAGUUUGCUUGAUCCGAUAUACCCGAAUGGGAUGGCUUUUUUUACAAAUAAUUAUGAAUUUGUAGACAGGGCAAGUAGGGUCGUAUCCUCAGGGAUUGGGGAUAUUUGUCUCUUAAGAAAUCCAAAGUAACAUGGGGUAAUUUUGUAUGAACGACGACAAUCAAAGAAACUCGAAUAAGAAAAUAAAAAUAAAUAACUAACUAGAAAUUAAAUGACAAUUCACUAAAUUUAGAGUAACAAUAAUUAAAGGUCUAAAACAAUUAAAACAAGAAAAUAAUUAAAAAUAAAAUAAAAUAGGCAACUAAAAAUCAAAUGGCAAUUCACUAAAAUCAGGGUAAUAAUAACUAGAGGUCUAGCCAAGAAAUAAUUUCAGCAAUGAUUCACCUAAUUGAUCAUCGAUACAAAUGCAGUUCCAAUUAUUUACUGAUAAAUAGGUUAUAAUUGCCAAACAAGCGCUGACAGUCAACCCCUCCUUACUGUGUCGGUGAUUAAGGUACGCCCGUUAAUCACUGCUCUAAUUGAAAGAUAAUUCUAGGUACGCCCGUAAGAUUUAAUUCCCCAAUUGCCUUAUGUAUUAGAGGAGCCUUAUUCUAACAAAAUAGCGCACUACCAGGGUUAUUUCAGAUUAGUCCGCAUAUCCCCCUGACACGAAUCUAAUUGUGCCGGUUGUCAGUAUUUCAAGACAAUUAAACAAUUACGGACUUAAAUGCCUUAAUUGACAAUAGAUUACCAAAUUAACUAAUUAUUCGGAUCCAAAACAAUCAAUUAAUUGAAUAACCAUAAGCAUAGCAAUCAAGGAAUAUGCGAAUACCAAUAAAUAAAAGAAAAAAAUUAAAUUAAAUCGAUCUCACAAUUUUUUAGGCAACCCAAAGCAUCUGUUAUUUCUUGACUAGAGUGGAAAAAUUAAUUCAUAUUUGAUGAACAAAGCCCACAGGAAAUUGAAGCAACAGUAGCGGCCAUUGACUCCGAAAUUAAGAAAAUUCAAUUCGCUUCGGCAACGAAGGAAAAGUCAAGAUUACAAAGAAUGCUCAAUUGCUUUUCUUUGCCUUCACAUCUGAUGGAAGCAAAGGCACAAUAGGACGAAAAGAGGAAAAGUCAAAAAGGGAAAAGGAACUCCCCAAAUACUCCCCCUUCUGCUAUGUGUAUUUCCUAUCUAAUACUACUGUCUCCGUCUCUUCUUUUUUUCUUUUCUUGCGGCGGCUCCACAAGGAAUAGAAGACCAAGCCCUCCGUCCGUCCUUGCCUUCGCAGAAAUUAUCAAAAUGGGCGUAACGUCUUCUUUUUAAAAAAUGCCCAGACUCUAUCAUUUGGACUCCUUUUCUACUAAAUUGGCACUUGUUAUCAUAUUUUUGUUAUACUCCCUGAAAUAAGCGUAAAAUAUUAAAAGUAAGUAGAAUUUAACAAUUAAUCCAUAUCGGAUCAGGUAAUAGGAAAAAUAAAUAAUAAAAUCGUAACCUAUCAUAGGAUUUCUUAAAGAAAGCUUUCUUUUACACUAGAGUAUUCUAACGGGAGCUUUGUUUCUUCUAAGUUUUUAGCAAGAGUUUUCUUGCAAUUUUUUCCCCUUGUUACGUAUCAUUUUUCUUAGAUUUAGUUAUCAUAUCUAAAGUUUCUGAAGUCUGCUUUGUUAGAUCUUAACAAGAUAUUUGAAUUUGAAACAGUUAAUUUAGCUGUAAAAUAUGUGUACAGAUAUUCACUGGGUUCAGAGAAGUUGAUAUCAAUUUGUUGAAUAUUUUGAGUUUUUGAAUGUUAUUUUUGUUUAUUUCUCAAGUAUGAUGCAUCUCUAGAUCUUAAAAUUGGUUCUCUCUGUAGAUGUCGGAUAUUUCUUCUGUUAUUAAUGCAAAUUUCAUGAAUGAAAGUAUGAUUUUUAUUAAUAUAUAUAGACAUUGUUUAGAGAAAUAUAUAUAGACAUUGUUUUGCACAACCUAUGCUGUAGGAUUUAAAUAAGAAUAAAUCUUAUAUAUACUGAUUGGAUCUAUGACAUAUAUGCAAAAAUUGAAUUUUAAAUACAAAUUUUACAUAAUUAUCAUUAAUUCAAUAUUGACAAUAUAUAUAUACAUUGUUAGUUUAGGAAAAAUUAAUUCUUCAAAACUAUAAUAGCAUAGCAAAGAAACAAGAACUCCCUGUAGUCUGGACCCAGGAGUGGAUACUAAAAAGUUGAUAACUUCGUUACAAGAUAUACAAAGGGUACAACUGGACCAUCUGCAAAGUGUUAGGGCCUAAGAGCCAAUUUAGGACAAGUGCACAACUAACCCCACCAACGAAGCUCUUUGCAAGUCAAGCACACUAUCGAAUGGGGGAGAGGCUCUAUGAACGUAUACUAAGGCUUAUGGUGGAAAUUAAACGAUUAUAUUAUUUUCAAUUUUUUUAAAAGCCAAAUUCAAAAUUUUAUUGAUCAUUCAAAACAACUGAGCUCCAGGAGUACCCAAAAAAAAACCAUAAAUACAUCAAACGCACUGUUCAAACUGCCAUACUCAAACCCCCAAAAAACAACAAGUCUACAUCUUCCUACACAAAAAUUUUUUGAUCUAGAUUCCAACUAAAACUAAUUUCCCAGUUUCUUCUUGAUCUCUCCACUUUCUUCCAUGAAAAAACAGCAAAUUUCACAUCAUUAGUGAUUCUUUGAAUAACAAGUUCCAUAGGCCAUAAUGAUUUCUGAAAAAUAAAGUGAUUCCUAAUCCUCCAAAUAUGGCAAACUGUAGCAGAUAAGGCAAGUAAACAUAGUUUAUUAUAAAAUGAACCAGAAGAACAAUGAUGAUACCACCACUCCAGUUCAUCUUUCCAGGGGUUGAAUUUGGUUGAGUUGGAUUAAAUAUAAAACUUAAUCUCCAUAAUCUUUUGCACCUCAAUUUACGUGCAGUAUUUGGAUGGUUAUUAGAGUUGACAUUAUGACAAAGAUUACCUUCUGACAUUAUAUGAUGAAAUAUGAUCAAAUUAAUCACUUUUUUGGCACAAUGAAGAUCAACUAAGAUAUGGAUUAUUAAUUGUCCAAGGUGUUAAUAAAAAUAAGUUAUAUUUUUUUAAAAAAAUAUUUUGUUCUUUUUUGUGAAAUUAGAUAGAUUUUAGAUUUUGGUUUAUCAAAUAGUAUGAAAUUCCUCACGUCCAAUAUGUUAGAUGGAAACAACUCUCCUUGGUCUUUUUCAGAUUUGUUUAGAUUUGUUCAAGGGCAAAAUUGUCAAAUAAAAUUUUAUAUAAUCCGAUCUAUAGUCCCUCACAUUUUACAAUAUGAAUUGUUUCAUCCCUCACAUUUUACGAAAUAAAUUUUUUCGUCCCUCAUAUUUCACAAAAUAAAUUUUUUCAUCUCUCAUUAACCAUGUGUAUAAAUAGCUUUUUAUUAAACCUAUGUAUGUUUUUAUUUAAUUUUACCUGAACAGUACGAAUAGCAUGUAAUAUAUCUCUGUUUGAUUUCAUCUAAAUAGAUUAAUUAUAGUUGUACAUAUGCUAUUCAAUAUUUAUAUACAUGGGUUUAAAACUAACAAUUUUAUUUUAAACCCAUGUAUAUAUCUAUUUGAUUUCACCAUGUGAAUCUGUUCAAUAUUCUCUUUUGAAAAUAAUUCAUUUAUUGAGUUGUAUAAUGAGACCAUUUAUUUAAUGGUCAUAAUUCGAAUUCUAUAGUCAUGCUAACAAAUUGCAGUUUAAAUUUGAAAUUUCUGCUCGCCACUUUUAAGUCCAACAGUUGAAUUACAUGCCGUGUGAUUAUUUUAAAAUUUGAAAGUACCAAUUACUUACUAUUUUUUGUCAUACUUUUCCUUUAUUUAUUUUUUCUGCCCAAGUUCAAUUCGAUGUAAACACUUGACAAUAUUCAGGAUUAAAUGUCUUCUUUGUUUUCAAUUUUUGAGUAAAAGGAAAUGAACAUGAGUGAAAAACUAACAAGUUUUUUCAACCCAUAUAUAUAUAUAUAUAUAUAUAUAUCUAUUAGAUUUCACCUGAACAGUACGAAUAACAUGUAAUAUAUCUCUAUUUGAUUUCGUCUAAAUAGGCUAAUUAUAGUUGUAUACAUACUAUUCGUAUUAUUCAAGUGAAAUCAGAUAAAUAUGCACAUGGGUUUAAAAAAAAAAAACUAUUCAUACACAUGAUCAAUGAUGGAUGAAAAAAUUUAUUUUGUAAAAUGUGAUGAAUGAAAAAAUUCAUUUUUUUAAGAGUCAUUUGAAAUUGUUCUAAACUAUUGUCCACUAGACACUUGUUAAAUAUACCUUAUAUAAUUAUAUGCCUAACAUUGAAAUUUUCAUUUUCUUUUCAUGCAAUAAAAUGCAACAUAGCAACAUGCCAACUUAUAAAACUUGUUUGACCUCCAUGAUAGAGACCAUGAAGUUGAAAACAAAAACUCAAUAGAGAAAGUGGAAAUAUACUGUAAGAACGUAACAUGUAGUUGCGUUAAAAAAAAAAAAAACAUGUAGUUGUGUUGACAAAAAGCUAAUACCUUCCCUGGAUUGAGGUUGAAAGAGCAAAAGUGACGUUGUAUACUUUGUUCACAUUUCUACAUCCUCCUGUGAUUUCUACCAUCAUCAUUUCAAUUUUUUUCCUCCCUGAAAUUCGUUCUAUUUUGUACAAAAUUUAUCGACUUAGGACUCUAGAACUUUAGCACUGUGAAUAUGAUAUACUAUAGUAAUUGUAAUGAAAUUGUUUUUUUCCCCCUAUAGUACUCCCUUUCGUUCCUUUUAUUGAUCAAACGUAAUAAAUAACACAGGCCACCGUAAAUUAUAAAACAUUUUUCUUUCUCUUUUUGCCUUUCAUUUGUUUACUUAUUUUUAUUUUUUUUGGUUGAGUAAUGUUUUCAUUUAUGCCGUAGUUAAAUUGAACCACAAUCUCAUUUCUCCUUCAAAAGUUUUUUUCCCCUUUUUUUGGUAGUAAUUUCCUAAGACCAGUGAUCAAAUAUUAUGGCCAACUAUAAUGCUAAACACUGAAUAUGACGAAAAGUCAUCUAUGUCCUUCAAUACCAGGGGGUGCGGGGAUUCGAAGCCUGUGAUUGAUGGCCCUGUUAUUGAGGGUUGUUGGUAAUUAUUGUUUUAUGUUUUGUGUUAUUGGCUUUACGCAUAGGAUGAGAAAAUUAGGAAAGCUGAAAGCUUGUAAUACGGGAAGACGGAAUCAUUAGUUUAGGAUAGUGAAGAAGCCUGUUGCAAUCUUAAAACAUUGUUGUACCAAAUAGAAUUAGAAGUCACAUAAAGGUUGAAAAGAUAAGUUGAUUAUUGUUGCAUCAUAUACUAAUAUUGACAUGAGGUCCCCUCUAUGAUAAAACCUUCAGUAGUAGAAGUGACUUCCCCGGAAGUAGAAGCUUGAGUGGUAGACAUAGUAGAGGUAGUAUCUUGCAUGUUUUGGUUUUUCUGUUGUCUUGAAUUUGUUCAUAAUCUUGUAGAUAGAUUGAGACCUGCAUAUAUAAUUACUUAUUGUUAGUAUACCAGACCAAAAAGAUAGAAGCAAACUUGAGCAGUAGAAGCUUGAGUAGCAGAUGCUUUGGUUUUUUUUUUUUUUUUUGCUUGAGGAUUGCCUCUUAAAUUAUCAUACAAUAUGUGAGAUUAAUUUAAUUAUUUUGGGUUAACUUUAGUAUUUAAAAUGUGGAAUACUUACUGUAACAUAUGGUGGUUUGCCUUCUGGAAUUGCUAUGGUAAGGUCGGCAUCAUUUGCCCCCAAUGGGUAGCUCGAUCGGUGUGGUUAUGUAAUGAUCAAGGCUGAAGGAUUAAGGAAUUGAGGAUGAUAAAAGGAGAGGAAAGAGAAGAACCAUCGGGGAAGAAGAGAACAGAGCAGAAAAGGUAGGGAAUAUAGAGUUCAGAGUAGAAUUGAUUAUUUGAGAGAGAAGAUUACAAUUCACAUACAAGCUGAUCUUCAUUACAUCCCAAAUUUUCUAUAUAUAGAUUCAGCUUACAAAGUAGUUACACGUAACUAACAUUCUUCUUACAACUAAUUGGUCUAAUUAUCAGAUUGGGUCAUAACAAUGCCUCACCAUUAAACAAUCCUAGUCCCUAGGAUUGAACUCUGAAAAGUCUAAACUAGAAACAAAUUGAUCCCCUUGAACACGAGUCUAGUGAAUGCAAAGUUGACCGUGAGUCUUAGCUUCAAGGCAAAAACAACGUAACUAUGCUCUCAUCUUCCAUUAUCUGAGUUAAUUCACCACCACCUGGAUCCCAUGGAAAAUGUGAUUUGCAAGCUCUGUAGUGCUGGAAUUUUUCAAUUGAAAUAGUAGCAAUUGUCCAAAUCAUUUUCAGCCCAUAAACUUCACCCCAGUCGUCAUGCCUCUAUUUAAUUCUAUACUGGGCCAACUUUAAGACAGAAUUAUGCAAUGGAAUCAGCACUUGGGUGACUUAAAAGCUGAUUUGUCAUCAUCAAGUCCUGGUCCCAAUUAAUGAUCAAGAUUAUGUCGUCUUCAAUAGGCCUCUUACCCAAUGCAACCUCCAAUAUCAUAACAACAAGGCAAGAAAGAUCACUUUCCAGAUUUGUAAGAGUAGAGAAGACACACUCAGCAACCAUAUUUUCCCUUGUUCCAGCUAGCAUAGUGACAUUUUUUGUUUUGAAACUAAGCUCAUAAACUCCUACUGGAAUAAAAUCUCCAAUCUCAAUACUGGACUGAGCAUAAAGCAUCAUAUGACCUGACUCAACAUCUUUGUGCAUUGUCUGGUUUAUGCACCGUAAAUGUAGAGUUACAAGAGUAAAGUUUCCUUGACCAUUACUUCUAUCUUCCAUGAACCCCUUUACACUAGAUUCAAUCUUAGCAAGGGACAAAUAAACUAGCACUCCCAUCCUCUAUAAUUUGGUUAGACCAUCUUCACUAUGCCAUUUCUUAGUAAUCUGCUCAUCAUUGUGCAGCAUACAACUAUAGUCCCAUCUUCUUGGGUGACUAAAAACUAAACCCAAAUACCUUGGAACAGCUCUUGAGCAAUCCUCCUCUUCAAGUAUGACUAGUAAUAUUUUGGAGAAUCUAGACCACAACAUCUUGAAUGGCCCAUAACUGGGAUUACAAGCAUUAUCUCCAACCCUCAUUAACUUCUGCAGAUUCGCCAAAAUUUCAGCCUGGAUUUUCCCUAAAUCUUGAUAUUCAAUCCAACUAAUCAUCUCUCUCUCCGGCUUAAGAUCAAUUCCUCAUGAGUCGGUAUCAACAAAAGCCAAGCAUUUAAUCUUUCUCAUAUCAACAGCAGCAUGAUUUCCAUAAACGUCAUCAAACAAGAAAGUGAACCUUAUAUCAACCUUAGUUUUACUUAGUAGAUCAUGAUAAUCAGAGACAUCUUCAAGAAGACCCAAACAAUCCUCAUUCAUGCUUAACGAACCUCUAUAAGAACUAAUGGAAGAUGCAAGUUCAUCAAGAACAUGAUGCAGUAACUUUGGAUGAUGAAUCAAGAUAUGGAGUUUAUCAUUAAAAUCCUCACUCAAUUCAAUAUGACUCGUUUUCACUACAGAAUCAGAAUGAUUAUUGCCUUCACUUGGUUCAAGGAAAAGCUCAUACCUAUCAGUUUCAUCAUCAUCAAAAUAAUGUUUGGUUUCGUCUUGGAAUUUUGCAACUCCCAAAUAAAAAAUCCCAUUUGGCUUGAUCAACUUUGUCUCCAAUGAAACAUUAACCUGCAAAUUGUGUGUAUAGAUCAUUCCAUCAUUGCCUUCGUUGCUGUAAUCGGUUUCAACAGUAACUUGAUUCGCAUUAGGAGCCCAGUUCUCAACUAUCCCUAAAACAGAACCUGUAACUCCAACAUAAGAAGAACAUUCAUC